GCCGGAGUGGUGGAACUGGUAGACGCGUCGGACUCAAAAUCCGAUGUCCGCGAGGACGUGCGGGUUCGAUUCCCGCCUCCGGCACCA
Molecule: transfer RNA, 87 nt
Filed under: Chloroflexota bacterium
Lineage: Bacteria; Bacillati; Chloroflexota
Description: Chloroflexi bacterium (anaerobic digester metagenome) tRNA-Leu
Rfam family: tRNA
About the family: Transfer RNA (tRNA) molecules are approximately 80 nucleotides in length. Their secondary structure includes four short double-helical elements and three loops (D, anti-codon, and T loops).
Source: RNAcentral